GGGAAAAUACCAAGUUGUGGAUGAAAUGGUAAAAGUAGCCAUUUUCGCAUACGAGGUAAGUUCAUAUGUAAAUGUUGGUAACAUAGUUAUUAUUUUAAAUAUUUUAAUGUUAUUUAAAUGGUAUGAUAAUUAUUAUGAAAUAUUAUACUGUGAUAAUUGUUUGUUAAUAUGUCAAAUUAUGUGAUAUACUUGGAAAAUGUGAAAUACUACCGAGUAUCGGUAAUGGCAUUCCGUAGAAGAUGGUUGAGACACAUGAUUGGGAAAAAGGUCUCAUUGAACCUUAGGAAUGGAUAAGGAUACAAGUGACAUAUCACUAGGAUAUUUGGGCAUCCGAACUCAUUGAGUUGAGUCCGAGUUCACUUAUGGAUGCAAAUGUCCGAACUCGUUGAGUUGAGUCCGAGUUCGUGAGAUGUAACUAGGCAUCCGAACUCGUUGAGUUGAGUAUGAGUUCACUCAUGGAUGCGAAUGCCCGAGCUCGUUGAGUUGAGUCCGAGUUCGCUUAUGGGCGGGUUACAUAGUAGCUUGGCUACAUAUGUGGCACUUAUGUGCAAACUUUCCAUGUAUCCGAAUUAUAUUCCGAUGUGUUCAACGGGUAAAAUUCUACUCAAAUGGAGGAAUACUCGGGAUGAAAGGGACGUAUUGGUAAGUGUUAUGAAAUGAAUACUUUGAACAGGUAUGUACUUAACCCUCGGGUUGAAAACUCGAUAUAACAACAAUAUGGUAAGAUGAUAAAUGAAAAUGUGAUAUGAAUGUCUCGGUGAUGAUUAUGCAAAUGAUGUUUUAUGUUUGCGUAUAUAGUUGUGUUACUUGCUAUUUGCAUGUGAGCUUACUAAGAAUUUAUGCUUACUCCCUCCUUUUCAUUCCUUGUAGUGUUGACAAGCCAGCUCGGAAAUCGGGAACGGUCGGAGGCACACUCACACUAUCUGUAUACCAUCUUGGCAUAAUGGCUUGUAUAUUUUGAGUAUGGCAUGUAUAGCAUUAUAAUCAUUUUGUAUAUAUGGUCUUAUGAUAUGGUUAUUGAGUGGUAUGGAAAU
RNAcentral lists this long non-coding RNA (1034 nucleotides) under Gossypium barbadense (sea-island cotton). RNAcentral's name for it is "long non-coding RNA (GBAR_LNC012183)". Lineage: Eukaryota; Viridiplantae; Streptophyta; Magnoliopsida; Malvales; Malvaceae. The record is from RNAcentral.